This 442-nucleotide ribosomal RNA is filed under the name uncultured bacterium. Its description in RNAcentral is "partial 16S ribosomal RNA". It matches the Rfam family "Bacterial small subunit ribosomal RNA", at positions 338 to 795 of the family's 1533-position model. The record is from RNAcentral.
CCUACGGGAGGCAGCAGUGGGGAAUAUUGGGCAAUGGGCGCAAGCCUGACCCAGCAAAGCCGCGUGAAGGAAGAAGGCUCUCGGGUUGUAAACUUCUUUUAAGGGGGAAGAGCAGAAGACGGUACCCCUUGAAUAAGCCAUGGCUAACUACGUGCCAGCAGCCGCGGCAAUACGUAGGUGGCAAGCGAUGUCCGGAUUUACUGGGUGUAAAGGGCGUGCAGCCGGAGAGACAAGUCAGAUGUGAAAUCCACGGGCUCAACCCGUGAACUGCAUUUGAAACUGUUUCCCUUGAGUGUCGGAGAGGUAAUCGGAAUGCGUGGUGUAGCGGUGAAAUGCGUAGAUAUAAGGAAGAACACCAGUGGCGAAGGCAGAUUACUGGACGAUAACUGACGGUGAGGCGCGAAAGCGUGGGUAGCAAACAGGAUUAGAUACCCCUGUAGUC